RNAcentral lists this ribosomal RNA (332 nucleotides) under uncultured bacterium. RNAcentral's name for it is "bacterial SSU rRNA". It matches the Rfam family "Bacterial small subunit ribosomal RNA", at positions 568 to 898 of the family's 1533-position model. The record is from RNAcentral.
CGCGUAGGCGGUUCGAUUAGUCGGAGGUGAAAUCCCUCGGCUCAACCGAGGAUCCGCGUCCGAUACUGUCGAACUUGAGUGCAGGAGAGGAGAGCGGAAUUCCCAGUGUAGCGGUGAAAUGCGUAGAUAUUGGGAGGAACACCGGUGGCGAAGGCGGCUCUCUGGACUGUUACUGACGCUGAGGCGCGAAAGCUAGGGGAGCAAACGGGAUUAGAUACCCCGGUAGUCCUAGCCGUAAACGAUGGGCACUAGGUGUGGGAGGUAUCGACCCCUUCCGUGCCGCAGCUAACGCAUUAAGUGCCCCGCCUGGGGAGUACGGCCGCAAGGUUGAA